AGAGUUUGAUCAUGGCUCAGAACGAACGCUGGCGGCGUGGAUUAGGCAUGCAAGUCGAACGGGAUCUUGAAGAACUGAAGCUUCGGCCGAGGUUCUUUAAGUGAGAGUGGCGAAAGGGUGAGGAAUACUUGGGUAACUUACCUUGAAGAUUGGGAUAACCUGCCGAAAGGCGGGCUAAUACCAGAUAAGACCACAGUAUCUCCGGAUACAGUGGUAAAACAAAGGCCUCUAUUUAUAAGCUUUUGCUUCGAGAUAGGCCCGAGUCUUAUUAGCUUGUUGGUGAGGUAACGGCCCACCAAGGCUAUGAUGAGUAGCUGGUCUGAGAGGAUGGUCAGCCACACUGGGACUGAGACACUGCCCAGACUCCUACGGGAGGCUGCAGUCGAGAAUCUUUCGCAAUGGGGGAAACCCUGACGAAGCGACGCCGCGUGAGCGAUGAAGGCCUUCGGGUUGUAAAGCUCUGUCACAAGGGACGAAAAGUAAAGGUAUUAAUAAUACCGGUACCUGACGGUACCUUGAGAGGAAGCCCCGGCUAACUCCGUGCCAGCAGCCGCGGUAAUACGGAGGGGGCAAGCGUUGUUCGGAUUUACUGGGUGUAAAGGGUGUGUAGGUGGCAUAGUAAGUGAGAUGUGAAAUCUCCAGGCUUAACCUGGAAACAGCAUUUCAUACUGCUAAGCUAGAGUACCGUAGAGGCAAAUGGAAUUCUCGGUGUAAGGGUGAAAUCUGCAGAUAUCGAGAAGAACACCAGUGGCGAAGGCGAUUUGCUGGGCGGAUACUGACGCUGAAACACGAAAGCUAGGGGAGCGAACGGGAUUAGAUACCCUAGUAGUCC
This 832-nucleotide ribosomal RNA is filed under the name uncultured bacterium. Its description in RNAcentral is "bacterial SSU rRNA". It matches the Rfam family "Bacterial small subunit ribosomal RNA", at positions 8 to 796 of the family's 1533-position model. The record is from RNAcentral.